This is a non-coding RNA of Caerostris darwini, 87 nucleotides long. The record is from the annotation of a GenBank genome assembly. NCBI's taxonomy places the organism in Eukaryota, Metazoa, Arthropoda, Arachnida, Araneae, Araneidae.
GGUUCCAUGGUGUAAUGGUUAGCACUCUGGACUCUGAAUCCAGCGAUCCGAGUUUUCGAACCUUAAGUUCAAAUCCCGGUGGUACCU